GCACGGCUGUCGUCAGCUCGUGUCGUGAGAUGUUGGGUUAAGUCCCGCAACGAGCGCAACCCACGUAUUUAGUUGCUAACGGUUCGGCCGAGCACUCUAAAUAGACUGCCUUCGUAAGGAGGAGGAAGGUGUGGACGACGUCAAGUCAUCAUGGCCCUUAUGCCCAGGGCGACACACGUGCUACAAUGGCAUAUACAAUGAGACGCAAUACCGCGAGGUGGAGCAAAUCUAUAAAAUAUGUCCCAGUUCGGAUUGUUCUCUGCAACUCGAGAGCAUGAAGCCGGAAUCGCUAGUAAUCGUAGAUCAGCCAUGCUACGGUGAAUACGUUCCCGGGUCUUGUACUCACCGCCCGUCACACCAUGGGAGUUGAUUUCACUCGAAGCCGGAAUACUAAACUAGUUACCGUCCACAGUGGAAUCAGCGACUGGGGUGAAGUCGUAACAAGGUAACCGUAGGAGAACCUGCGGUUGGAUCACCUCCUUUCUAG
This 487-nucleotide ribosomal RNA is filed under the name Campylobacter coli. RNAcentral's name for it is "bacterial SSU rRNA". It matches the Rfam family "Bacterial small subunit ribosomal RNA", at positions 1043 to 1533 of the family's 1533-position model. The record is from RNAcentral. Lineage: Bacteria; Pseudomonadati; Campylobacterota; Epsilonproteobacteria; Campylobacterales; Campylobacteraceae.